CCCGUUGAGUUUAAGCAUAUCAAUAAGAGGAGGAAAAGAAGCUUAUAAGGUUUCCCUUAGUAACGACAAGUGAACCGGGAACAACCCAACCUUAUAAUCGGGCAGCUCCGUCGUCCAAAUUGUAGUAUGGAGAAGCGUCCUCAUCGGCGGACUGGGCCCAAGUCCCCUGGAAGGGAGCACCAAAGAGGGUGAGAGCCCCGUUGUGUCCAGACCCUAUCGCAUCACGAGGCGCUGUCUACGACUCAGAUUGUUUUGGAAUGCAGCCCAAAUCGGGCGGUGAAUUCCGUCCAAGGCUAAAUACGAGCGAGAGACCGAUAGUGAACAAGUACCACGAGGGAAAAAUGAAAAGGAUUUUGAAAAUAGAGUCAAAGAGUGCUUGAAAUUGUCGGGACGGAAGAAGAUGGGGGCCGGCGAUGCACCUCGGUUAGAUGUGG
Molecule: non-coding RNA, 434 nt
Filed under: Solanum tuberosum (potato)
Lineage: Eukaryota; Viridiplantae; Streptophyta; Magnoliopsida; Solanales; Solanaceae
Description: rRNA LSU_rRNA_eukarya
Rfam family: Eukaryotic large subunit ribosomal RNA
Source: Rfam by way of RNAcentral